CUAUUAGGUGAGGUUCCUGUUCGGAGAGAUGCUACUGCCCAGAAAUGUCGAGAGACGCCAAUGGGUCAACAGGAAAGAUCGGAGGAAGGUUUUUCCUAACGUAGCUGGUCGUGAUCGACCUAUGCCGUUCAGUGCCAAAGCUCAAU
This 146-nucleotide small RNA is filed under the name Risungbinella massiliensis. RNAcentral describes it as "M-box riboswitch (ykoK leader)". It matches the Rfam family "M-box riboswitch aptamer (ykoK leader)", at positions 11 to 155 of the family's 169-position model. Rfam says of the family: M-box riboswitch, also know as ykoK leader is described as a metaloregulatory RNA that sense divalent metals and function as a genetic control element of genes related to divalent metal transport in bacteria. It was first reported upstream of the B.subtilis ykoK gene and genes with related functions in other bacteria. Phylogenetic analysis of the distribution of M-box RNAs across bacterial genomes revealed that M-box riboswitches are most often employed for the regulation of Mg2+ transporter genes Lineage: Bacteria; Bacillati; Bacillota; Bacilli; Caryophanales; Thermoactinomycetaceae. The record is from RNAcentral.